This 162-nucleotide ribosomal RNA is filed under the name Laserpitium halleri. RNAcentral's name for it is "5.8S ribosomal RNA". It matches the Rfam family "5.8S ribosomal RNA". Rfam says of the family: 5.8S ribosomal RNA (5.8S rRNA) is a component of the large subunit of the eukaryotic ribosome. It is transcribed by RNA polymerase I as part of the 45S precursor that also contains 18S and 28S rRNA. Functionally, it is thought that 5.8S rRNA may be involved in ribosome translocation. The record is from RNAcentral. Lineage: Eukaryota; Viridiplantae; Streptophyta; Magnoliopsida; Apiales; Apiaceae.
AAAUGACUCUCGGCAACGGAUAUCCCGGCUCUCGCAUCGAUGAAGAACGUAGCAAAUGCGACACUUGGUGUGAAUUGCAGAAUCCCGUGAACCAUCGAGUCUUUGAACGCAAGUUGCGCCCGAAGCCAUUAGGCYGAGGGCACGUCUGCCUGGGUGUCACGC